This 1534-nucleotide long non-coding RNA is filed under the name Schizosaccharomyces pombe (fission yeast). RNAcentral describes it as "non-coding RNA, possible alternative UTR". Lineage: Eukaryota; Fungi; Ascomycota; Schizosaccharomycetes; Schizosaccharomycetales; Schizosaccharomycetaceae. The record is from RNAcentral.
AGCAAAUGCUAUUUUGUGUGUUUACUUUUCACAUAACUAUUCUUUUUUUCCCUUUAAAUGUUUUUAUUCCAUCAUUUGUAAUAUAAAGACAUAUAAAUCUACUGUUUCUAUAUCAACUUGACCUAUUUUCCUUCUCAGUUUUGCAAAUUUGCAACGUUGGUGAAUUCAAAGAAUUGAGUACGCGAAGAUGAUGGAUUCAUUGUGUUUACACUUCCCGGGACUAUAAAAAUACAGUAAGCAUUUACAUUUUAAAAUUAACUCUAAAAGUACUCGUUUUUGGAGCUUUGAAAUUGGACACGUUCUUCUUCUCUUCCCUCUUCAUGAGAACACCUCCAUUUCGCAAUUAAUCGAAAAGACAGUUUUUGAAAGAUGUUGUUUCCUCUUGGGGUUUUAAAAGUUAACUAACAAGAGGUAUCCAAAAGGAUAGGACAAGCGUUACUGCAGAAUUACUAUUCCAGAUUUAACCUGCGUAUUAUGUUUCAACAUUAAAAAAAAAGUUCAGCAGAAUUAAACAAUCGAGUGUGACCUCGUUGUAAGUCUUUAGAAACGAUCAUCAAGCUUCUUUUCUUUAGACUAUAUUCACUAGUACAUGGAUUGACAAUCUUGACACUGUACAUGAAAAUUUCUAUCCCAAGCCGUAAUUAUAUGGCUUUAAUCGACAAGAAUACUUCGUUAACCCCAUCAUCGGUGUUUCUUGUGUUUCAACCUUUAAUGCAUUGUUAUAAAGUCUUUGAUUGGAAAGUUAUCACCAGUGUUGCGAACGAUGUUAAUAUAUUGUUCUUGUAUUAAGCAUUUUGCUGCUUCGACCAUCGACACACCUCUUCCUUUACUAAAUAUAAACAACUUCCAGAGUAUUUGCCUUCUCUCCAUCCUUCAUUUCAGCAUGACUUUCUUCAAGUCAAGUCUUUGAGCACAUAUUUCCUUCAGCUCGUACACGUUCUUACAAUUGUUUUGUUUGAAUAUAUCCAACACCUCGUUUGCAACAACCGUCGACAUGCAUCUCCAAUGGAAGACCGAAAAGUAAACAAAGCAACAUUUUACUUGUUUACCUUUUGUUGCGUCAUUAUUUGCUCUUUUUAAAAUAGCUUUGAUACCUCGUUUACCACCGUGGAUAAAAUUUUGUCUGGCUUAUGGAUGACCGGAAACUAGUCGUCUCAUCUCAUUUUCAAUGAUUCAAUUAACAGUUUCCUAUAACAUUGGAUAUGGAUUUUUGAUGGUGCCUUAAUGUGUACAUCUGACACAUCAAGGAGGUACUAAAGUAAUGUCCUUUCGGAAAAUUUCGUUAGACCAGAUAUUGGCCUGUUACUCAAAAUUUACACAAGUAUUAGCGAGCUGAACGAAUCCUGCUUUGUUAACUAAUUAUGUGUUAACGCAUGAAACAAUGCUGCGCCCAUGUGCACGUGACGGUACUCUCCCUUCCCUUUGUUGAUGAAGAGCCGAGGAACCCGCCCUCAGCUUUACAAACCUGCCUCCUCCCAACACCAUCCCAUAGCAUACAAAUAAGUGGGACUUUCAAGUUAAAACUUGUUCAAAG